Molecule: ribosomal RNA, 794 nt
Filed under: uncultured bacterium
Lineage: Bacteria
Description: bacterial SSU rRNA
Rfam family: Bacterial small subunit ribosomal RNA
Source: RNAcentral
AGUCGAGGGGCAGCGGGAUUGAAGCUUGCUUCAAUUGCCGGCGACCGGCGCACGGGUGAGUAACGCGUAUCCAACCUUCCGUACACUCAGGGAUAGCCUUUCGAAAGAAAGAUUAAUACCUGAUGGUAUGAUGAGAUUGCAUGAUAGCAUCAUUAAAGAUUUAUCGGUGUACGAUGGGGAUGCGUUCCAUUAGGUAGUAGGCGGGGUAACGGCCCACCUAGCCAACGAUGGAUAGGGGUUCUGAGAGGAAGGUCCCCCACAUUGGAACUGAGACACGGUCCAAACUCCUACGGGAGGCAGCAGUGAGGAAUAUUGGUCAAUGGACGAGAGUCUGAACCAGCCAAGUAGCGUGAAGGAUGAAGGUCUUACGGAUUGUAAACUUCUUUUAUAAGGGAAUAAAACCUCCCACGUGUGGGAGCUUGUAUGUACCUUAUGAAUAAGCAUCGGCUAACUCCGUGCCAGCAGCCGCGGUAAUACGGAGGAUGCGAGCGUUAUCCGGAUUUAUUGGGUUUAAAGGGAGCGCAGACGGGUCGUUAAGUCAGCUGUGAAAGUUUGGGGCUCAACCUUAAAAUUGCAGUUGAUACUGGCGUCCUUGAGUGCGGUUGAGGUGUGCGGAAUUCGUGGUGUAGCGGUGAAAUGCUUAGAUAUCACGAAGAACUCCGAUUGCGAAGGCAGCACACUAAGCCGUAACUGACGUUCAUGCUCGAAAGUGUGGGUAUCAAACAGGAUUAGAUACCCUGGUAGUCCACACGGUAAACGAUGGAUACUCGCUGUUGGCGAUAUACAGUCAGCGG